Molecule: long non-coding RNA, 497 nt
Filed under: Rattus norvegicus (Norway rat)
Lineage: Eukaryota; Metazoa; Chordata; Mammalia; Rodentia; Muridae
Description: long non-coding RNA NONRATT008832
Source: RNAcentral
GGAAAUAAAAUAAGCUAAUAUACAAGUGGCAAGGGAAGAGAAGAAACAGCAAGUGACAAAGGGAGGAAAGGACGUCUCUGGCUGGUGUGAAGAUGGGGGAAACUGGGGCUUUGAGGGAUACAAGCAUCGUUUCUUCUGCUAUAGGCUUGGUAUUGUUGACUGAAUCUGCCCAAAGGACCCAGAGAACUCCUGUGGCAGACCCGGGAGCAUGGUGUGGAAAGACCUCACUGAUGUGUGCUUACAUGUGGUUGGAUUGGAACCUUCCCUCUCUACUCUGAAGCUUCCCUGAAGGUUCUUGAUGAGAAGUUUGUCAACCUCUAGAUUACCCGGAAAAGAAACUUUAAGUUGGGUCAACUGGCUCUCUGAGUAUAAUGCAUGGAGCGAGCCACUUAACCUCUCCGAGGGUCGGUUACUUUGUAAAAUAGGGUUCAGCCUUGCCGGUCUACUGUAGGAUUAUGAAUAUUACAGUAAGAUGAAUAAAUGAUAGCCCCUGACAU